RNAcentral lists this unclassified non-coding RNA (173 nucleotides) under uncultured Leptodiscella. RNAcentral describes it as "sequence contains ITS1". The record is from RNAcentral. Lineage: Eukaryota; Fungi; Ascomycota.
AUACGAAAAAACGGCCCGAAAGGGACGUUAUUUCACACCAUUGUGUACCAAACCUUUGUUGCCUCGGUGGGUUGGGCUGCGCCUACCCGGCCAGCCCCCUUAGGGAGCCGCCCACCGCAGGACCUUUCAAACCGCUUUGUUGAUGAACGUCUAAUUUAUCUUUUAAAGAAAUA